This 483-nucleotide ribosomal RNA is filed under the name uncultured bacterium. Its description in RNAcentral is "partial 16S ribosomal RNA". It matches the Rfam family "Bacterial small subunit ribosomal RNA", at positions 30 to 508 of the family's 1533-position model. The record is from RNAcentral.
AUUGAACGCUGGCGGCAUGCCUUACACAUGCCAGUCGAACGGUAACGGGCCUUCGGGUGCCGACGAGUGGCGAACGGGUGAGUAAUACAUCGGAACGUGCCCGAUCGUGGGGGAUAACGAGGCGAAAGCUUUGCUAAUACCGCAUACGAUCUACGGAUGAAAGCAGGGGACCGCAAGGCCUUGCGCGGACGGAGCGGCCGAUGGCAGAUUAGGUAGUUGGUGGGAUAAAAGCUUACCAAGCCGACGAUCUGUAGCUGGUCUGAGAGGAUGAUCAGCCACACUGGGACUGAGACACGGCCCAGACUCCUACGGGAGGCAGCAGUGGGGAAUUUUGGACAAUGGGCGCAAGCCUGAUCCAGCCAUGCCGCGUGCAGGAUGAAGGCCUUCGGGUUGUAAACUGCUUUUGUACGGAACGAAAAGCCUUCUUUUAAUACAGGAGGGUCAUGACGGUACCGUAAGAAUAAGCACCGGCUAACUACGUGC